This 400-nucleotide ribosomal RNA is filed under the name uncultured bacterium. RNAcentral's name for it is "bacterial SSU rRNA". It matches the Rfam family "Bacterial small subunit ribosomal RNA", at positions 28 to 437 of the family's 1533-position model. The record is from RNAcentral.
GACGAACGCUGGCGGCGUGCUUAACACAUGCAAGUCAAGGGGGCCCAGCAAUGGGCAACCGGCGAACGGGUGCGUAACACGUGAGCAACCUACCGAACUGUGGGGGAUAGCCGGCCUAACGGCCGAGUAAUACCGCAUACGCUUUCAGUGAGGCAUUUCAUUGAAAGGAAACCUACGGGACAGAUCGAGGGGCUCGCGGCCUAUCAGCUAGUUGGCGAGGUAACGGCUCACCAAGGCAACGACGGGUAGCUGGUCUGAGAGGAUGGCCAGCCACAUUGGGACUGAGAUACGGCCCAGACUCCUACGGGAGGCAGCAGUGGGGAAUCUUGCGCAAUGGCCUAACGGCUGACGCAGCGACGCCGCGUGUGGGAUGAAGCUCUUCGGAGUGUAAACCACUGUU